AUUGAACGCUGGCGGCAUGCCUUACACAUGCAAGUCGAACGGUAGCAGGUCUUCGGCUGCUGACUAGUGGCGAACGGGGGAGUAUUACAUCGGAACGUGUCCAGACGUGGUGGGUAACGGGGCGAAAGCUGUGCUAAUACCGCAUACGAGCUAAGAAUGAGAGCAGGGGACCGCAAGGCUUUGUGCGUUUGGAGCGGCCGAUGGCAGAUUAGGUAGUUGGUGGGGUAAAAGCUUACCAAGCCGACGAUCUGUAGCUGGUCUGAGAGGACGACCAGCCACACUGGAACUGAGACACGGCCCAGACUCCUACGGGAGGCAGCAGUGGGGAAUUUUGGACAAUGGGCGAAAGCCUGAUCCAGCAAUGCCGCGUGAGGGAUGAAGGCCUUCGGGUUGUAAAGUGCUUUUGUUCGGAACGAAAAGGAUCUGGCUAAUACCUGGGGCACAUGACGGUACCGAAAGAAUAAGCACCGGCUAACUACGUG
This 482-nucleotide ribosomal RNA is filed under the name uncultured bacterium. RNAcentral describes it as "partial 16S ribosomal RNA". It matches the Rfam family "Bacterial small subunit ribosomal RNA", at positions 30 to 507 of the family's 1533-position model. The record is from RNAcentral.